RNAcentral lists this ribosomal RNA (483 nucleotides) under uncultured bacterium. RNAcentral describes it as "bacterial SSU rRNA". It matches the Rfam family "Bacterial small subunit ribosomal RNA", at positions 28 to 524 of the family's 1533-position model. The record is from RNAcentral.
GACGAACGCUGGCGGCGUGCUUAACACAUGCAAGUCGAACGAUGAACCGGAGCUUGCUCCGGGGAUUAGUGGCGAACGGGUGAGUAACACGUGGGCAACCUGCCCCAGACACCGGGAUAACCUUCCGAAAGGAUGGCUAAUACCGGAUAUGACCACUUCGGGCAUCCGACGGUGGUGGAAAGGAUUCUGGUCUGGGAUGGGCCCGCGGCCUAUCAGCUUGUUGGUGGGGUAAUGGCCUACCAAGGCGACGACGGGUAGCCGGCCUGAGAGGGCGACCGGCCACACUGGGACUGAGACACGGCCCAGACUCCUACGGGAGGCAGCAGUGGGGAAUAUUGCGCAAUGGGCGAAAGCCUGACGCAGCGACGCCGCGUGAGGGACGAAGGUCUUCGGAUUGUAAACCUCUUUCAGCAGGGACGAAGCGAAAGUGACUGUACCUGCAGAAGAAGCACCGGCUAACUACGUGCCAGCAGCCGCGGUAAU